UCUUCCAUCAGAGAUCCUUUAGUUUCUUCCAGGUAUUCUUCUGCUUCAGCUGUUCAAGUUGCCCGGAUCACCUAUUAAUAGGCAGCUCCCCCACUCUGAUCUGCUGAAGCAACAGACGAAAAAGGGAAAAAGAGAAAUAGUGCUGCAUGUACAAAGCAGCGCAGCCAUGAGAACAGGCAGUGUCUCCUUCCCAGGUUCCGCAGCUCCGUGUGUCUCUCCCUGUGUUUCCAUCCUGUCGAACGCUCGGAGCCUGCCCUGCACACAUUUCAGAAGCGAAGGGCUUUCCUAAUUACAGUGCGAACAAUCCGAGGCACGCACUUUUGGUGUGUUUUGCAUCAGAUCCACCCAAAUUCAAACGAGCAGGGAAAGUUAUUCUUCUGGACACCAACUUUUCUCUGUGACUGUUUGCUCACAGGCACAGUGGGGGUUUCCCUCUCCUGUUUCCAUGUUCUCUGGGGAUGCUGACCGAGGAUGGGGAUGUGAUGUUCCCCGUUGUGAGGGGACAGCGGUGGCCUUGGACCUGCAGCCACCAGCCCAGCACCCAGCAGGGAAUGUGGCGUAGCGGAUCGCCCUCCGCCUCCUCCUCCUUUAUAG
Gallus gallus (chicken) is the source of this 594-nucleotide long non-coding RNA. Lineage: Eukaryota; Metazoa; Chordata; Aves; Galliformes; Phasianidae. The record is from Ensembl.